Molecule: ribosomal RNA, 412 nt
Filed under: uncultured cyanobacterium
Lineage: Bacteria; Bacillati; Cyanobacteriota
Description: bacterial SSU rRNA
Rfam family: Bacterial small subunit ribosomal RNA
Source: RNAcentral
GAAUUUUCCGCAAUGGGCGAAAGCCUGACGGAGCAACGCCGCGUGGGGGAUGAAGGCCUUCGGGUCGUAAACCCCUUUCGUCCGCUCAUAUGAGUGGAAAAAGAAGCACCUGCUAACUACGUGCCAGAAGCCUCGGUAAUACGUAGGGUGCAAGCGUUAUCCGGAAUCACUGGGCGUAAAGCGUUUNGUAGGCGGAUUAGCAAGUCGGCUGUGAAAGACCAGGGCCCAACCCUGNGACCGCAGUCGAAACUACUNGUCUAGAGUGUCAAAGGGGAGGCUGGAACUGUCAGUGUAGUAGUGAAAUACGUUGAUAUUGACANGAACACCAAGGGNGAAGGCAGGCCUCUGGGUGACCANUGACGNUGAUGAACGACAGCUAGGGGAGCGAAAGGGAUUAGAUACCCCUGUAGUC